GCGGGUGGAAGAAACAAAUGUCUUUCCACUAUCGUUGCGAACAAAAAAACAAAAAUCGAGUGUGAGAGAGCGCAAGGAAGAGUGCAGCGGGGCAGGGGUAUAAUGGGAAACCAGAAGCAAAAAUGGACGGUGGAGGAGGAGGGGGGGCACUGCUAAACGGAGUAGCUAAGCACUGUCCUGGCAAGUGGAAGAACAUUCUCAAAGAACCCAAUUUUGCUCCUUUCCUCACUCAACGCUCCAACAUCGACCUCAAGUGCGACCUGAUGCUAGAGGAGAGAUACCGAUAAAGCGAGCAGACAUUGGAGGAGCGCAUGCAACAAAUGAUGCAAAAUAUAAUGGCGCAAAUGAUGCAGGGUACGCAGUUUACAGCGCCAGCUCCAAUUGUAACUCAUCAGGAUGAUGGUAGAAAGGCCGAUAGUAGUGAUUAGUGAUGAUAUUGUUUAUGACAAGUUGUUUGUUUUUUUGUUAUUAUGAUAUUUUAUUUUUUCAUACAGUACAUUAUUCUCAAAACACUUCACUGUCAUACCUAUAUAUAAUAUUGAUUGAUAUUUGAUA
RNA transcript from Hevea brasiliensis (rubber tree), 555 nucleotides. RefSeq lists it as uncharacterized. The record is from RefSeq and is a predicted model, not a curated record. The transcript is spliced from 2 exons. NCBI's taxonomy places the organism in Eukaryota, Viridiplantae, Streptophyta, Magnoliopsida, Malpighiales, Euphorbiaceae.